UACGGGGGGGGCAAGCGUUGUUCGGAAUUACUGGGCGUAAAGGGCUUGUAGGUGGCCAACUAAGUCAGACGUGAAAUCCCUCGGCUUAACCGGGGAACUGCGUCUGAUACUGGAUGGCUGGAGUGUGGGAGAGGGAUGCGGAAUUCCGGGUGGAGUGGUGAAAUGCGUAGAGAUCCGGAGGAACACCAGAGGCGAAAGCGGCGCUCUGGGCUGCACCUGACGCUGAACUGCGAAAGCCAGGGGAGCGAACGGG
Molecule: ribosomal RNA, 253 nt
Filed under: uncultured bacterium
Lineage: Bacteria
Description: partial 16S ribosomal RNA
Rfam family: Bacterial small subunit ribosomal RNA
Source: RNAcentral